GCAAGAUAGGUUAUAAUUUGUACCAAUUUUGUGUCGGAAGAUGACAAGAUUAGUUUUAUAGGCCUCCAUGGGAAUUUCUUCAUGGAACUCUUCUCUUCCAUGGAGUUGCUCUGAGGAGGUUACAC
This is a small nucleolar RNA of Arabidopsis thaliana (thale cress), 125 nucleotides long. The record is from RefSeq. Lineage: Eukaryota; Viridiplantae; Streptophyta; Magnoliopsida; Brassicales; Brassicaceae.